This 329-nucleotide unclassified non-coding RNA is filed under the name soil metagenome. RNAcentral's name for it is "partial contains 5.8S ribosomal RNA, internal transcribed spacer 2, and large subunit ribosomal RNA". The stretch from base 1 to 120 matches the Rfam family "5.8S ribosomal RNA", at positions 35 to 154 of the family's 154-position model. The record is from RNAcentral.
GAUGAAGAACGCAGCGAAAUGCGAUACGUAAUGUGAAUUGCAGAUUUCAGUGAAUCAUCGAAUCUUUGAACGCACAUUUCGCCCGCCAGUAUUCUGGCGGGCAUGCCUGUUCGAGCGUCAUUUCAACCAUCAAGCCUUCGCUUGUGUUGGGGCCCCGCGGCUGCCGCGGUCCCCUAAAUCCAGUGGCGGGCUCGUCGUCGUACCGAGCGCAGUAGACAUCCUCGCUCCGGGAACCCGACGGGUGCCGGCCGUGAAACCCCCCACAUCAAGGUUGACCUCGGAUCAGGUAGGAAUACCCGCUGAACUUAAGCAUAUCAAUAAGCGGAGGA